This 37-nucleotide transfer RNA is filed under the name Hesperostipa comata. Its description in RNAcentral is "partial tRNA-Leu". Lineage: Eukaryota; Viridiplantae; Streptophyta; Magnoliopsida; Poales; Poaceae. The record is from RNAcentral.
AAAAUCCGUCGACUUUAUAAGUUGUGAGGGUUCAAGU